UCCCUGGUGGUCCAGUGGCUAAGACGCUGCACUCCCAAUGCAGUGGAUCUGGGUUUGAUCCCUGGUCAGGGAA
Molecule: transfer RNA, 73 nt
Filed under: Bos taurus (domestic cattle)
Lineage: Eukaryota; Metazoa; Chordata; Mammalia; Artiodactyla; Bovidae
Also listed under: 2 other names
Rfam family: tRNA
About the family: Transfer RNA (tRNA) molecules are approximately 80 nucleotides in length. Their secondary structure includes four short double-helical elements and three loops (D, anti-codon, and T loops).
Source: Rfam by way of RNAcentral